ACAAGUAUUUAUGGUUAAAUUCAUCUCUGAAUCUCUUUUGGACUACGGCACUCACUACUUGCUCAUUUAAGUUUACAUUAGUAUCAACAUGCAAAUGAUAAAGACUGUAAAUCAAAAGACCAGAUGCAACCAAUUUAUUUCAUAAAUAAAUGAAAUAAACUUCUUUAUUAAAUUGAAAAAUAUAUCCAUCCUAUGCUAGUAUAGAGAUCAAGAUCAAAUUUUGGCUAGCUAUAGGAACAAAAUAACAGUCUUUUAAAUCUAAUUUAAAGCCUAACGAUAAUCGAAGAAUAUAGAUUCCAACGAUUUCUGUAG
This 312-nucleotide long non-coding RNA is filed under the name Elaeis guineensis (African oil palm). RNAcentral's name for it is "long non-coding RNA (EGUI_LNC073784)". The record is from RNAcentral. Lineage: Eukaryota; Viridiplantae; Streptophyta; Magnoliopsida; Arecales; Arecaceae.